UUCGUUGUAGCUACUUCAGGCAUGGUGCACAUACAUCUGGUUGUGGUGGUCGGCAAGCAACCUUCUGUCCUUACUGAAUGCGUCAUCUACCUUCUGGUGGUCGUCAAUCGAUGGUGUACACCGUGUCCAGCAUGUGGUUGUGCUUGCACAUUUAAUGCUGCCGAGAAGCUACACAUAUUUGGCAUUCGCGGCCGAGCCGCUCACCAUCAUGGAGUUGGAUCACACUAGACCUCAAUGGCAUGCUCUGCCAUGUGGCCUCCUUGAUGCUGGUCGUCGAGCACUGAUUCGACUAGACUAUCGCGCACAUAUUGAUCACAUUUGAUAAACAAGCUAUGAUCGUUGGAGAGUACCCCUCAGAUAUAUAGGUGCUUUGAUCUGAAGGAUUGGUUUGUGAUACGUCAUUGAUUCAUCGUUGACACAAAUAUGAAAGCACACUAGAAAGAUAAACAUAGGAGAUCAUAGCUGAAGGGUGGGUUUCCAACGACGGUGGUGUGCUGCCUUUCUUCCAGUGCCGACAAGAUGGCUAGUUUGUCGCCCCGUAACCCUGGUGGUGGGCUCCCAUGACUGCCUCCUGGGUUACCUACCACUUAGUGUUGUACUUGCACAUGUAAUGCUGCGCAAGAAGGUACACAUACUCGAGCCAGGCCAUGAGCCGACUCACUAUGAUGAAGCCUGACGCUAAGUUGGAUCACACUGGGGCUUCAAUGAUAUGCUCUGCCCGGUGGCCUCCAGGAUCAGCCUCGACUCAUGAAGAACACCCAAGGGACCUGACUUAAUGAUGAGGAUGAUGUUGGAGGAAUCGGAGUGGUCACUGAAGAUCGUGGACUCGCAUCCGCCAUUGCUGGAAGUUUGAACUUCGAGAGGGCAGAGCGAUCCCGUAUGAGAAGACCACCGAUGUGAUCAUAGCAUUUUCUCUGGGCGUACCUUCUGGCACGACACCACCAUCCGACACAAGUUUGGCCGGCGAAGCAGCUCUGCUUGCUCUGGCACUUACUUUGACGCCUCUGGUGGCUGUUGGUCCUCUUCUCUGCUCUCUCUCAAGCUCUAUGACACUUGAUACUUGUUGAGCAUUCUUGCUGGACGCACCUUCCGGGACCAUGGUGUCAUCCCACACUAGUUUGGCCGGCGAAGCAGCUCUGCCUGCUCUGUCGCUCACUCCAACGCCUCCCGCGCUGCCCCUCCGGUGGCCGCUUCCUCUU
This is a long non-coding RNA of Triticum dicoccoides, 1199 nucleotides long. RefSeq lists it as uncharacterized. The transcript has 10 exons. The record is from RefSeq and is a predicted model, not a curated record. Lineage: Eukaryota; Viridiplantae; Streptophyta; Magnoliopsida; Poales; Poaceae.